GUUUUGGUUUAAUGUUUAAUCGAUUUCUUAAUCUUAAACUUUUUUUGUAUAUUUUAAGAUUAUGGCCUCUUGUGAAGAAUCUAAUGAAGAUGGCUUGAAACCAGUUUUAUCCUCUCUGCAUGAAUUGAUAUACAGCAUGGGGCGUUUAAAAUUUUCUUUAAGAUCUCUUGCUGCUAUCGAAAAGCAAUUAUCCCUAGUUUCAGAACAGGAAACUGAUUGCAUUAAAGAUAAUUCACCUUUACCAGACUCUAACAGUGUUCUUGAGAAAAUAAUACAUGAAAUUGUUUCUAAGAGACUGAGUGGAGAAGAAAAUACUGCCAAUGAUUCUGCUUGUAAAGUAACUGCACAAGAGCAGCAUAUUACUAAUGUUGAAGAAUUAGAAAUUGUGUAUGAAAAACUUCAAAAUGAAUUAAGAAGGAUACGACAGUAUCAUCUAAAUGAAUUUGGAAAGGUGCUGAAAGAAAGUGCAAUCUGAAAGCUGACAGACAGUAGUCUCUUCUCGACAGUUUAAACAAACCAAAUGGCAGGAGCACUUUUAUAAGAAAUUAAAGUAUUUUUGCAUUUAUUUUAUCAAUAUUCAUUUAAUGCUCAUUUUGCCUUUAUUUUUAUAUUUAUUUGAAUAUUAAAAUGUCAAUUAAUGUUUAAAAGUUCAAACAUUUUUUGUAUUUUGCAUUUGUCAUAAUUGUAUAGAAUUUUCAUUUAAAAAAUCAAAUGAUAAUUAUAUUGUAUUCAUUUUUGUAUCAUUCACAAAAAUUGACUUGGAAAUGCUGCUUUUUGAAACUGUUUGUGAACAGUUAUCUAUGGAGGCAUUGUUUGCUGUAUAAAAUAUAGUUUGAUCUUUUCUAAUGAUGCUUAUAUGUACUUUAGCUGAUUUCUUUCAAUUAACCACGAUUUCAGAUUUUGCUGGCCAGUAUCUGGUACAACUAAACUGCUUUAAAAUGUGAAUAUGUUUUAAAAAAUAUUAUAAUGCUUUUAAUCAGUUUACUUAAUUUUUUAAGGUAUUUGUAAAAUAUUUUGGUAAUUAUUAAGUGUUAAUAGAAAAGUAUAUAUAAAUAUUUAUACUAGUUGUUUCUUCACCUCAGCAGAAAAUAAUUCUGAGUGCCAUGACAAAUAGAAUGGAACUACCUUCAACCUGUUUUCAUUUCUUAGUUCACUCAGUAUGUACAUGCUUUAACAAUGGAUUGAACAGGCUGUAAUGUUUCUCUUCUGUAAUAGAGCCGGUAUCAUUAUUAUUUGUAGGAGUUCUAUGAUCUGCCAAAAUAAAACUGAAAAGUGCCCACAUACUUUUUAUGUAGAAAAUAUUCAGCUUUUUCCCCUUGCCUUAGUAAAUCCCAAAUCCAAAUGAUUAUUAACCUAAAUUUUGAUUAACAAGUUGUGGCUUUCAUCUUGAUAAGUUUGUUAAGAAAGGCUGUAUUGUAUUGAAAAAUCUUUUAAUUCAAACAGUUAAGAAAAAGAAAGUAAUUAAUGUCCUAAGAUAUGAUGAAUGCUCAUUUGUGGUUAUAUUUUGAAUUUUUCUGUAUUGAGAAUUUCUUAUUCUGUUGCAUUUUUCAAUAUCUUGAAUUCUGGCUAAUAUAUACAAGUUUAAAAUAUAACUUUAGAUGGAAAAUAUAGAUUCUAAAGAAAUUAAUAUGUGCAAUAGUAAAAGUUUUUUAAUAAUCACAUUUUUUUUUUUUGAAAUAGCAACAUAAAGAUAAAACAAAAUAGUGAAUAAACCACUGCAGAAAACUGAAUAAUUGAUAAAUAAGCUUAAUUUAUACAAAAUGUUAUCAAAGGUUCUUUAAAACCAAAGAAGGUUUUACAUUUAUCGUGACACCUCAGUCAGGUUUGUAUCCAAGAAUUGUGAAAUUGUAAGCAUACUCAUGUUCCUGUUAUGAAUGUAUUAAAUAGUAUGAAAAUUUUGCAUGGAAUUAAAAUUUUAUUGCUUAUAUGAUUUAAAAUUAUUAUCAUAUACUAGCUUUAGUAUCCAUUAUCUCUUUUCAGUUUUUCAAGGUUUGAUUGGUUACUUCUUUCAAUGUAUUUAAAUGCAUACAGUAUUUUGUAGGAAAUAUUUUAAGGAUGUUGAAGAGUGAUGCCAUUACUCUCUGAUGAUAAUUUUUAAAAUAAAAUCAUACUUCAAAAUUUAUUUAUUUUCUAUCAUUUUGCUGAAAAUGAAAAGUGAUAUAUUUGGAGACAGUUGGGGGUAGCUUGCUAAAUUGCUUAAUAUCGUUUAAAUUAUAACAAAAGAAAUUGAGUGAUUUUUUAUUCAUUAAAUGGUUAAUAAAAGAAAUUCACUAGUAUAAACUACAAUGAAAUGAGUGUAGUUUAUAUUUUAUAUCAAAAAAUCUUUUCUCUAUUUGAAAUGGAAAUAUGGUAUUUUAAUGGCAGUUUUAUCAUUGGCAAUAGUUUGGAAAAUUUUUAUCAUGCUAAAAUGCAUUAUAAAGAUUAUUUCUUUCAAUAGAUUAUUAUCCCUGUUUUAUUACCUUUCUCUUUCUUGCAGUAUAAUUUUUCUGUGUGUGUCUUUUUAAGUAUUUUUGGAAAAAUUUACAUGUAUUUUCUGGUUCGAUUAUUAAAAUCAGCUAGCUGCUUGAAUGACAUAUUAAGAUUUCUUUCGAAAGUUAAUUAUUGAAAAGAAUGCUACAAAUUUUAUGUUAUUUAUUAAAAGGCUAAACUGAAAUGUUUAGUUUCAUUUCAUUUAAAAAUGAGUUUGAAAUGUUAAACAGAUUAAAAGCACUUGUUUGUUGCUUUUCCGUUCUUUUAUAAACAUUUAGAGCGAUGAAUUUCCGCAUAUACAGUCACUCUGGCUAACUGUGUCACGUGGUAAUAUGGCAAAUUUACUACUGUCUCAGCAAUUAAAAGCAAUUAUAGGCAUAACUUGCAAUAUUGUAUGCUAGGAAGAGGAUGGCGAGAGCUUGAAUGAGUGAAGAGAUGUAGAAACUGAAGAUUUCUGGUCGGUGAGGGUGGAAUGAGAUGAUUGGUUCAGUCAUCUGUUGGCCAAUUGGCAAACCUAGAAAGGAAGUGCAUCUGCUUGCAAAUCAGGCAUUGGUCGGGAGAAGGGGCUUAAUUAUAAAAUUUGCUUUAAAAGUUAAAUUAGUAAUUUAUUUUACAUUAUUUGGUAGUAAAAGAAUCAUAAAGUAAAAUAACAGGUGGCCUAAACGACUAUUAAGAUAAUAAUCAAAUUAGGAUUACAGUAUUAAAAAUGAAAUUAACUUAAUUAAAAGAAUUAGCUCGUGCUGAAGGUAAAUUACACUAAUGACUCCUAGAUGGCGACACAGUUGCCAUGUAGACUUGGGAUAGUUAAAUCUUUUAUCCAUGGAUGGCGAUACAUAUGCAUGAAUUUUAGAGUGGGUUAAAAGUGAUAAAAAUUAAUUCAUGCAAGAAUUAAGAGAUAGUAGGGUAAAAUUGCAUAAAGAUCACAAUUACAACAUACUUACUAUGCAUUUAAGUGCAUUAGGACCACUCCGGGUCUUUUUUCUGUUGUCUCUAUCAAGAUAGUUGUAGUUCAGCUGAGGUAUAGAGCUGUGCAUUUCAAGCCGAUUGCAAAGAUUUUUUUUUUAAACAUGCUUUUGAAUUGCUUCGUGUAGCUAAUAUAAAGUGUUCCAUUUUUAUGUUUCAUUUAUUUUGUAUGGGUAUUUAUGAGGGCAUUAUGCAUUUUAUAUAUCUUUUUAAUUUAAAAUUUACAAUAAUUUGCUGCUAUACUUCUCAAUUUUUUUUAUUUGACAGCGACCGAAUUUAUAAGGCUUCUGAACACUGGUAUUUCAGUGCAAGUUGAAAUCCUAAUGAAUAGACUGGCUGCAUGUGUAUUUUUAUGGUUUUCUUUGUGUGUAAGUUGAAUAUGAGUAUCUCCAGAAAGGUAUCCCUUCCAUUCAGGCAGAUAUAUUUUUAGGCAGAUAUUUUCUAUUUCAGCACCUAAGUGAAAGCAUCAGUAUUAAAAUUCAAGAAUGUACCACCUUUAUCUCAUUUUAAAUAUGAAAAAUAUUAAAAUUUUUGCCUCUAGAAACUUUUUAAAGUUGAAAGUUGCCAAUUAUAACUUUUUAUAAUUAAUUCGAAAUUUUUUGUAGCUAAUUUAGCAUUCUUCAUUCUUCACAUGAGGUAGGUACCUCACUAACCUUACCUCUGUCCUUGCUGUGAUAUUAGGAUUAUCAUAAGCUAUUUAACUAUUGCAGGCUUGUUUACUGGAAUGAAAUGAUUUAUCCCACAUAGCACAAAAACAUCCUUGGGAUAUCCCGAGGAUGUUGCUCGCGGGAUAUGGGCACAUCCUCAGGACAUCCCGGGAUAUCCCACUAACCUCCUAAACACAUCCCAUUAUAUCCUAAAAACAUUCUACCUAUGUCCCAUUGACAGUGUAUGCAAUGUUAUUAGGAUUUAAAGUCCUACUUACUACAUCCUAAGGACAUCCCAUAAUACCCCAGUUUCCUCCUAAACUCAUCAUCCCGAGUGCUUAAUGUCACAUCCCAGUAUAUCCUUAGG
Molecule: unclassified non-coding RNA, 4446 nt
Filed under: Stegodyphus dumicola
Lineage: Eukaryota; Metazoa; Arthropoda; Arachnida; Araneae; Eresidae
Description: uncharacterized LOC118203786, transcript variant X2
Source: RNAcentral